Long non-coding RNA from Oreochromis aureus, 991 nucleotides. Lineage: Eukaryota; Metazoa; Chordata; Actinopteri; Cichliformes; Cichlidae. The record is from Ensembl.
GAUUUUACAAAACAGAGUAAUAACCUGACUCUGUCCAUAUCAGAUGAAGGCAUCUAUCGCUGCAGAGGAAGAAGAGGAAACCCAGUUUUCUUCACAAACCUCAGCAAAGUGUAUCACAGUCAGAAAACAUUGUCCAACAGGGCCUUUGUGACUCUGCAACAGAACUGGACUCAGAUAUUCAGCGGUGAGAUGAUCACCAUCAAAUGUGAGAUCCAAGGAGGAGAAAACACUGAGUGGCAGUAUGAAUGGAGAACAACAAGCUCAAAAACACCUCCCACACACAGUGAAUACAACAUCAGCAGGGCUUCAUUUUCCUACAACGGGCAAUAUUGGUGUAAGGGUAGAAGAGACUUGUUCUUCUCAACAGCUUGGAGUGAUGCUUUUACACUAAAAGUCUCAAACAAACCCAGACCCACAAUUACUGCUGAUAGGAGAACAAUACCAGCUGGAGGCAAUGCAACACUCAGCUGCUCUGUGGGGAGCUACAAUGAGUGGAAAUACUUCUGGUUCAGACGCGCCUCAGUCUUUUCAGAAAUUCAGGUGAUUAGAAACGAAGAACCAGAUCAAAUGAUCACUGUCACACAGGGAGGCAUCUAAUACUGCAAGGGAGGGAGAGGAAACCCAGUUUUCUUCACAGAGGACAGUGAUCCAAUCACUAUUGAAAAAAGAGUUUCCAACAAAGCAGUUGUGUCCCUGGAGCCCAGCUGGCCUCUGAUAUUCAGUGGCGAGAAGAUCACUGUUAGACGUGAGAUUUAUUUAGGUAGAAGCACUGAGUGGCAGUAUGAAUGGAGCAAACCCGACUCAAGCACAGUUCUGGCAAAUAAUGCAUCCAUAGAUGUUAAUGCAUCUGUGAUCAGCAGUGGAAGCUACAGGUGUAUGGGUAAAAACAAACAGGAGCUGUACUCUGUGACAGAGUGGAGUGAUGUCAUCACACUGACAGUCUCUGGAAACAGACCAAAGGCCAGCAUCAGUGCUGACAGUAGAGUCCUUC